Molecule: non-coding RNA, 679 nt
Organism: Pelobates cultripes (western spadefoot toad)
Lineage: Eukaryota; Metazoa; Chordata; Amphibia; Anura; Pelobatidae
Source: the annotation of a GenBank genome assembly
CGCAUGUCGGCUGAGCUCCCGCGGCGGGCAUAAUAAACAGCAAGUACUGGGGCACCUACUUACCCUAAAUCAGCCCGGGACCGGGUCAAACAAUACCGCUCACAAUGGGGAAGAAGGCGAAAAAGCUAAAAACCCUUACCGGGAACGGAUCCCGCGAUAUUGCUGACCUCCUUCAGCCGCGGCCUAGGCCCAAAAUGGCGCCACAAACAGACGCAUAUUAUACAUCCUCUGAGGAAGAACUCCUAGACGCACCUGACAACAUAUCCUGUUCAGGGAGCAUGAACAGCCCUCAAAGAGAGGAAGACCUAACAGCCCCAGCUACAAAAGGGGACAUCAAAGCUCUACUAACAAACAUAAGAGCCUUCUUAAAUGCAGAUUUGAAUAUCAUGCGUGAGGAUAUAACAGUGGUGACAGCAAGACUGCAGGCUAACGAGGAUGCCAUCACCUCCCUAGCCCAAAAGCAAGAAAGCACCAACGAGCACUUGCUCCUGCUCCAAGCAUCACACAAAAGCAUGCAGGUCAGACUGGACACCCAGGACGACGCAAGGAGGCAUAAUAAUCUUAAAAUCAGGGGCAUAGCCGAAUCAGUUACCGACCAGGAACUACCCCAUUUCUUACGCCGGCUGUGGACUACCCUACUACCACAGCGCUCUGCGAAGGGCAUUCAGGUAGAUGGCUG